CGCCGAGUGGCCGAGGUGAGGAGGGGAAGAUGGCGGAGUGAGAGGGAGAGGCGGGGAGGCCGGGGCGGCCGCGGCCCUGGCCGCGCUCAGGCUCACUGAAGAGAAGGUGGAUUGAUCAAAAAUAAUGCUCUCCAGGUCUGUUUUCCCCAUCUUCAUGACAAGAAUAAGACUUUCCCAACAGUGUGAGCAUGGACGAUCAAGCUCAUCAUCAGCUGAAAUACUUCAGUGCCUCAGAGAGAAAACAAUGGUGAUAUUCUCUCCUGACAUUCAAGAAGGCGAUCCUCUUGCUUGCUCAUAGGCUGUGAGAUGUGGAUGUUUCUCUUCUAGCAAGCAAAAACCUGUCGUUCAUCUCCAUGGAGCUUAAUGAACAAAGAUCUCUUUACUUCCUGUUGCAACCAUUUCACCCAAUGUUUCAUUCACCAGAUGACUUCUCCCACCGAAGUACCCCACUGUUUUAUUGAAACUCAAAAGCAGAGUAACAGAAAUCAACAUUUGUUUCCCUGAAGAAAUGUCUUCUGUGCCAGCUCUUCAUCCCGCUUUCUGCAUUCUGUUCUAAAAUGAGAAAUACUUUGUAAUCAGGUGCAAGUGGAAGCUGGUAUUCUUCACUGAUAUAUCCUUCUUCAUUUUAGGAAGGUUAAGUACUUCACUGUGUCAUACUGGAAUUCUUAGCAGAUAAAGUGUCUUCAUGCAUUGCUGUAUCAGAUUGUCUUGACAUGUAUGGAAAGUUGCAGCAGGAAAACUAGAAGACAUUUUCUGCUCUGACAUGAGGAAGAAACUUACCGAACAACUGGGGACAACCCAUACAGGUAUUUUCUAGUCCAGGACCCAGGCUUGACUUUGUAGAUGAUUGUCUUGAUGUCAGCUCACAUAAAGCAGCUAAUGCACAGGAACAAACACGGCAUCACCUUGACUAUAGAGCAUAAAUGCAUUGUCCCAGUCUGUGAGCAAAAUGUGUAUUUUUGCAUGUGCAAUCCUAUGUAAGCGUGGAUGUGAGGAGCUUUCACCAGAAGGAGAAGUUGCUCUGCACCACUUCAUUUUUAGUGAAGAAGAAUGAAGCGUUAGAGGCCUCUGGGGUAUCAGAAUAGUGAUUAGGUUUACAUUAAAUCAUUCUCUCCCUCUGAGUUUUUAUGAAUCCUUAGCAGCAAAAGGAACAAAGGAACAAAAGGGAGCAGGAAUACUUAGGACAGGCCUUUUUCUGGUUCCUCUUACUCCUUCCCAAACUGAAGCGCAGUCUGUUGUUCUUACGUUUACACAACAUUCUUUGUCUCCAUUAUUUGUGAUUUUAUAUAAAAUGUUUUCUCUCAUAGUGAGAUGGGAGCAUGGAUUGUUUACAUGCUCCCUGCUAUGUAAUUGUAUAUGGCAAGUAAGAUUUCUUGGCAAAAAAAAACCCACAACAAAAACAAAGCUGGGAUGUGUAUUCUAUUCUCUGUCCAAUCUUGAGCUCUUCUUAGUGCACCUUAUCUCAAGCUUGUGAUUUAAAAAAUGUGAUUUACUAGGUUAAAAUAAUAUUUUCAAUUCUGGAUCAAAUAAGUUAUAUAAGUUCUGUUAAUAGGCUUUGGGAAAUAAUAACAUGGUUUGGGGUCGUCAUUUAAAUUUCUUGUUUUGUUCUGUUUUUCCUUUUAGAAAACUGCUGGAGAGAGCCAGGCAGCCUAAAAAUGGCUGAAAAAGCCAAUAAUUUAAAUCCUUCUUAAAUCUUUAUGAUAGAUUGCACGGGCAGCAUUCUGAUAUGUAAAAUGGGGUGACAUUUUAUGGGACCAAAUUCUAUAGCAGAUUAAGGGCAAGUGUUGAUGUUGAUUCUGAUCUUCAGAGUAGAGCUGAGCCAAGUCUGUGUUUAGACUGGGUUGUAACUCAAUGGCAGCUUUACGGGGCUUUUUGUUUCCAUUAAGAGAUUAGACUAAAGAGCAGUGGGCAAGACUGCAUACCAAAGUAAUGCAAGCUGUGGUGCCCUAAAAUUGUGUGUAACAUUGUGAUGAGCUGUGUAGUAAGAGUUAUAUUGAUGAGGAACCACCAGCUUGGCCUGACUUCUUUUAAGAACACAGGAUUUCUUUGCUUAAUAUGGUCUGAAUUUUCUGGUAUUGGAGGCAGCUAGAAAAGCAUACUUCCUUUUUAGGGCCUCCUUGUGUUGAAACUGAUGGGAUUUAAUGUAGAUGUCUGUAGAAGCAGGAUCCAUCUCUAAGUGAUGGAAAAUACUGUCCGUAUCGUAGGAUUAUAAGUGGUUAGGAGGCAUCUGGUAUAAGAAACAAUUAUUUUUAGAUCUGGGAAUAUUCUUUUCUUCCUUCUUCCGACACCUAUUCUUCUGACAUUAGAGUUAGCAGUCGUUUCUUGCAUAGCCUACUGACAAAAUACUUCGGAGACAGGAAGGGAUUUUUGUUUUCUGUGGACAUGUACAGUAACUAAAUUUGACUAGAGAGUAGACACUUAAAUCUCUUGGAUUUCUUUUUCCAUAGGAAUAACCCUCAACAUUUUGUAACCCUGCAUGGUAACAAAGUAGUAAAAUUGCCACUUUUUCCUGACUCCUAUCCAUGAAAAUGUAAUAACAUUCGUUUUCAAGUUUAAUUUUAGAACAUAAUAUUUUUUAGCAGGGCUACGAAUCUGUGGUUUUCACAGAAGUAAUACUCCAACAGUGCAUGCCCAGAAGACCCCCUUGCCAUACCCUUCUGGCCAGCACCUUUAUAAAACUGGUGUGUUAGGAAAUGCUGCCUCAGCCUACUUACUUCUUCUUGCUCCACUUUCUCUCUAUGUUGGUUGGAAAUCUUCCCAUGUGAAAGAUUACAAAAACAAGGGGCAUGUGCAAUAGAUCAUAUAUAUAUAUACAUAUAUAUAUAUUUUAAUACUUGUGGACAAAAUGAUGUUACAAGUUGUUUGAAAACAACAAAAUCACCAAUGUCUUCCAUUUUGAGAUGUGUAUAGUUCCAUAAGCAUUAGUGCUUUGUAGCAAACUGUAGUGCCAUGUUAGGAUCAGUGCAUGAGCCUAGUAGUAUUUUUACAAUUUCAGAGUGACAAAUUUAUUAAUAAACAGUGAUGAUAAUGUAAUUAACAAUAGAAAGGAUACAAUAGGAAUAGUCACAAACAUGGUCUAAAUAUGCAGUAUCCUCCCUUUGACAGUGGCAAUGCUAUCUUUAGAAAUUGAAUACGUUCACUUGAUGGGCUUCAUAGAGUCAUAGUUGAGUUUUUGUUUUUAGUCUGUCUGUCCAACUGCAAUAGUAAGGUAGUGUAUGUGAGCAUCCAGAAUUUUCAUCUCUAUCAGUCAGAUUCUUUUCUUUUCAGUCUCCAUUGAAGGUAUUUGUUUCCAUGUACAGCAUUUUCAAUUUUAUUGUUGAGCAUCCUGUGAUAUACUCAGAAAAAGUACGAAUAUGCUAAGGAGUCUGUUUGCAUUUUGUGCACAUCUCUGCUAGGUUCAGAUAAUAUACAAAAUCUGUUUGUUUUUUUUUUUUUUUCAGAUCUGACUAUAUAAUUUUAUAACUAAAUAUUAUCCUCAUUAUAAAAUAAGUCAAUGGUUGCGAAAUGCUAUUUGCCGAUUAUACAUAGAAGACUUUUAUCCAUUAUUGCAGGAAUGGGGAACCUUUUUUGCCUGGAGUACUUACUGAGUCUUUUAACACCUUUGGUGGAUCCUGCAUUUACAUACAUCUUCAUGUUGGUGAUAAUAAGAAAGAAUUUAAGUCAAGGGCUUAUGAAAAACAACACUGCAGACUGUAUCUGUGCAGCAGGCUAUCUCUAGCCUAUAGAUCAGAGAUUCCCCACCCCUGUAUUAUUGAGAAUUCAAUAUCCUGUAUUUUAGGUAACUUCCAGUAUUGCUUUCCAGCUCUAAGCUCAAUUUUAGUGAUUUUAGUCUCUCCCUCUGCUUUUUUCAGAAGGAAAGUUGAGACCAGGGAAAGUCCAAAUGAUUUAGCACUCAAUGGGCAGCUUGAACUGGUCAAAUAAGAAUCUGAUAUGAUUCUUGAGAUGUGCAAUGCUCUGUGGAUGGCAUCUUCUGAUUUCCUAGGAAAAAGUACUUUGUUUGGUGCCAGUGUUGCUCUUCACUAUUUCUCUUUCACAAGAACAAAAUUAUAUUUCAACAUAGAGAGGAUACUGCAUCUUUUCCUGAGACCUGCCUGUAAAUGGCCAUUAGGGGGAGGGAGGGAAUGGGUAGCUUGGUUUUGUAAUUUUUAUACAAUUUAUCUCUAAAGUAAUCAAUCAAGAAGCACGUACUUUGGUGCAAAACCAGUCAUUUGUGAAGAGUUCAUGUAUGUAACAGAGGGAAACAACCAACCAACCAUCUGCAUCUGAUAGAUUUCCAAGAAAACUGGAGAGGUGGGCCAUUUACAGCAGAGCUCUGGGGGACCUGUGCUGAGAGUUAGGUUCAAUUCUACAUGGAAGUAGCUGUACCAUUGAAUAAAGUAGUUUAGUGCUUGGGAGAAUCAAUUGAAAAAUACCUCUGAAACUGGAAUGCAAAAUAGCACAGUAUGUAGGGGGAGGAAUCCCUGAUGCAAACAAAGCCAUAAGAUGAUUUAAUAAGAAAAUAGAACUUUAGUAGCAAUAACUGUUUUGCAUGUGAUAGUAAAUAACUUGCAUUAGCAAGACUGUACAGUAGAGUAAGUGGGUAAUAACCAAAUAAGUUUGUGGUGCUCUGUGCUGCAGGGAGUUGGAUGAAGAGUCUCUUUCUCAGAAGAUCAGUGAAUUCCUCUUAUGUUCCUCUCAUUGGAGGGAAUUUGGCACUUGAAUACUUAGUUAAUGAACCUGAUUAAAAAAAAAAAAAAAGCAGCUUGUCAGUGAGUGCUGGGGGAAGGGCAGACAGUUCUUUUUGAAAGGAUAGCUGGAGUUUCCCUAUUUUUUUUCUUUUUUGUAGUCUAGCACUUGCUCUGUUUCUGAGAUGAAACUAAACCCUUCCAAAUAUUGGCCUGUGAACAGAACCUGAUUCUGAAGUUGGAAGCUUUUACUGUGGGAAGUACUUUUUGUUUGCUUUGUUUAAAAAGACCAAUCUGAGGUGGUCUUUAAAUAAAAAAUUAAAAAACAUUGUACAUCCCAAGCACAGCUGCAGAAUUCUAAAAAUGUUACUUUACAGCAAAAAAUAAUUUUAGCCUUGCUGAACACCAUUUCAAACCAUAAUUGGUUUCUGUUGAUGCCUGAAGUUUUGCAGAAGCAAGUACUGUGAAGUCUCAGGUGUUACAAAGGGUUAUUGAUCUACAGCUGUAGCCCUUGCACCCAGCAAAGUAUUUGCUGUCAAAGGGUUACAUAAAAGAGUUGCAGGAGUAGUAAAAUGUCCAUAGUUGACAGUGUUUUCAGUGCAGAUAUGUAGUCAAUAGCAACAAUAUGGCCCAACAGAUGUUCUGAAAGUAGGGAGGUGAAGCCCUUUGGCUCUUUGUAGGUUGAUAAUGGGACUGUGAGGGCUGUGAACAUUUUUACAGUAUAAAGUAACCAGAUAAGCAUGAGGAUAUCUAAAUUUAGUGUUGGCUUAUAUGUGUAGGAAAAGGUAAUUGAUUUGGAACAUUGUAAUCAUCUUAAGUUUCAGCUAUUGAAUUAUUGAUAAAAUUGGAAACUGGCCACAGGGGCCUUUGAUUGUUACCUGAUUACAUUAGAGAAAUUACACAUUCAUUCUGGAUUGUGGUUAGCAAGUACAUUUACAUAAUAAUGAAAACACUGUCAUGUGUAUACUUCAGAAGUAUGAACUUAGUGGCUGAAUAGAAUUAUUCAAAUAUUCAGUUCCUUCAGAGAAGAGAGGUGGGAGGGGAAGAAACCAACACAAUUGUAGCCAGGUGAGCUAUCUCCAUAUUCUUCCCAGUUCAGACUUGUCAUAACAAUCUGUAUUCUGUGGGCUGUUGGACUAGAAAUUACAAUUCACAGCAACAAAACAAAUCCCUUUGCCUUUCAGCUCUUGUAGUAUACAGCGCUCUCGUACCUUUGCUCCAACCCCCUUGAUUAAGUGGAAGUGUUAGAUGCUACCACAUUUCAGUGUGGGAUAUCAGUGCUGUACUGACCAGUACUGAUGUGCCCUCUUUAGCAGUACUUGUUGGGAAUUGCACCUUCAGGAAUUGCACCUUCUGCAACUGAGGAUAAUUGUCAAUUUUAGGACAAAAAUAAGUCUUGCAAAGACUCCUGGAAUGAGAAGAAAUUGUACUGAACUGCAGGACACUGACACUUUACACAAGGAUUACAUUGUCAAGAGCCAGCAGUGUGGUUUUUGGGCAGAGAAGGGAAAAAUAUGGAAACGAAGAACAAUUUUUGAUGGGUAACCAAUGUUUCCUGCAUCCCCUGCAACUGUCUGGUCUUCCUCCAAAACUAAUAAUCUGGCUUGCUGUUCAGGUACAGAGCUGCAUAGUGGCAGUUCCAGUUAUAUUCUACUGGACUUAUUUUACUGAGUGAGCCAGCUUUUUGUCCUGGUGGUGCUGUGACUGGCACACAAAGCCAGCAGUCAAACCGGGGUGUCUCAUUUAACAGUGCAGAACACUAACCAUGGAUUUUUAUGUCCAUUCUCUUUCAGUCUGCUCUGUGCUUUCUCCUAAGUUUUAGAGAAGCUGUCAGUGUUUCUGUCUUUGAGCCUAUGUACCAGGUUACAAUAAAGACAGAUUCGCUAAGACUUCACAAUAUCUAAGGUUAAAGAUAAAAGGUAACUUAGUGUUUAGUGUGUCUUACGUAAAUUCUGUCUGCUUCUCUUCACUUCUCCUCCAAAUGAGUGUGUUUGCAGGUCAAAACAAAGGCUGCUAGUUCAUAAUGCCCAAGGCAUGAAGAACUACAUCAAGAAACUGAAGGAAAGUGGCACAGGCCCACAAACCAAAUCUUAGAGCUAGUAUUCUAAUUAUGCAUGAUUCAAAAUGUCUAGUGUAAUGUAGUUAUUACCAGUAAAUUGAGAUAUGCAUUUAUACAUAAUGAAGCAAUAGGAAUUUAUAUACUGAUAGCUUGAACUUCCUGCUUUGAUUCUCAAAUUUUGUUUCUUUAGAGAAUGUGCUGCCUCUGUAGAGAAAGGGGCAGAAUGUAUAGAUAGGGACAGAAGCAUGGCACCAAAACUGUAAAUCAGAAACCAGGAUCAGCAGAACUCACCUUUAUAACCUCUUGUCUGGUUCAUAUUAGUGCCCUGAGCAUGUAAGAAGCAGGGCAUGAACUAAGCAUGUUUAGGGCAAGAUGAGGUUUCUCACCUGCUGCAGCUGUAGCAAGGAAAAGGGUGCAGAGUUUCUUACAAGGUGCAGGGGGGAAGCAAUAGGUGAAAAAAAAACAAAACCCCAAACCACAAAACUAAAUAAAAAACAAACAAACCAAGUAAUGGAAAACACAGACUCAAAUUGAGUUUAGUAUUUGCCAGACUGUAGGUAAUAAGCUUGGGUGUGGUGAGAUAAAUUAUUUGGAGAAGAUCAAAAUUAAAGCACAGUACUUAUAUUUCAGGUGUUGAAUAGCUUUUUAAUAGACAGUAUUUUCAGGUAACUCUCUAGCCACAUAGGCAGCUGUACUGAAGCAUACUGGUACCAGCCAGCAAUAAUGGCACCUGCAGGAAUGAACCUGAAAAUACUAGUAAUCUUGUAUAUUUUUUAAGUUCUUUCAAGAGAUUUUUAAAAACAGAAAAUGAAAUUUGAUCACUGAAGGUCUUUAUCUUCUGCAACGCAGGUUGCAAUAGCCUUUUUUUUCUUUGUUUCAAUGGUUAAAUAAAAGGGAAUUUGGGUGCCAUCUUUCUGUAAACUCUUAAGAGUGUUCUCUGUAACAUUUCCCAAGUCUUUUAGUGAAUAAUGCAAUGAAUUUCUUCUGGCAGUUUGAAAAUAACAUAGAAUGUGUGGCAUAGCCUAUAUCACUAAUACUUUUCCAACAGUAAACUUUUAUUCAAUCAUGUAGAAUACUAGCUUGUUACUGCAGAAUUCCAUACUUCUAGUUUAGCUUAAUUUUGCAGGUGGGUUUAACUUGUGCAGAACACUUCUCCAUGUACAGAGGCUCAGUCCUCUUUCUUAAAUAAAAGGAGGGAGUGUCUUGGAGGAAGAAAUUGCAUGUCAAGUUAACUCCUGUUCACACUUCCUAACUAACCCUCUGUAAAGCACCAUGAUUUUAGAUUGGUGGUUGCAUUUUUUUUCAUGAAUGCUUUUUCUACAUAUACAAGAAUUGCCAAAUCAAGAUAGGAAUAUUUUAAGAGAAGAUAAUUAUUUUAUGGUAUCAGAAGUUAAACUAAAUUAAAUCUUUUGAGCCAACUUGUUCAAGCAAAAAGGGAAUUUGUAAAACAAGUUUAGCACAGCAAUUAUCCACAGCCACCUAGUUCUUUGUAGAUAUUGUUUAGAGUGUUUCACAUGGUUUUAAAUUCUGUUACAUGUAUUUUCUUCUGUGUGAUGAGUAAGCUGUUUUAUCUAUUGUUACUGCUUAUCCCCUUAGAUGUAAAACUUUGGGAAUAAGCUUCUUUAGGAUGUUAGUAAAGAUACCCUCCUCUUGAAAAGUAUGAUGUAACAGCAAAGGAGUAUUAGUUACAGGUUCAUAAAAAUUACCUAGUACUUAAACAGGUGAGAAAAUACUUCUUAUAGUGAACUUCUGAUGGCAUGCUUACAUGGAUUAGUGGAGGAAUUUAUUGGUGUUACUAGAAACUGUAUUCCCAUUGCACACGUUUUACAUGGUAACAGUGAAAGAAUGUCUCCCUGCAAAUUCUGAUGUUUUUCCAAAAGGCAGCUUGCUUUUAUAUCUAUGCAUCUUUGAGGUUUUCAAGAUAAGAUUUUAUUCUUUUGACACUCUAAAGAGGAACUGUUUAAAAAUGAACUUGGAAACUCUGCACCUGUAUACAAAUUUUUUUUUAGCAAUAAAGCAGCACAGGCUGAGAAUGCA
This is a long non-coding RNA of Apus apus (common swift), 8760 nucleotides long. RefSeq lists it as uncharacterized. The transcript is spliced from 4 exons. NCBI's taxonomy places the organism in Eukaryota, Metazoa, Chordata, Aves, Apodiformes, Apodidae. The record is from RefSeq and is a predicted model, not a curated record.